Long non-coding RNA from Sander lucioperca (pikeperch), 406 nucleotides. RefSeq lists it as uncharacterized. NCBI's taxonomy places the organism in Eukaryota, Metazoa, Chordata, Actinopteri, Perciformes, Percidae. The record is from RefSeq and is a predicted model, not a curated record. The transcript has 3 exons.
UCUCAUCAAAACCACUUGAAGUUCUGUCAUCUAUCAAAUUUAAAUAGAUAAUUUAAAUAAAGCUUUUUUUUAUUGUCACAUACACAUAUAUGUAGUGAAAUUCAUUCUCUACAUUUAACCCAUCCCACAAGGGAGCAGUGGGCAGCCAUUUACAGCGCCCGGGGACCAACUCCAGAUCUGGGCCAGUGCCUUGAUCAAGGGCACUGACUGGAGAACCUAGUACAUGUUUUUUGAUGGUGGGGGAAACCGGGGCACCUGGAGGAAAACCAUGCAAAGAUGGGGAGAACAUACAAACUCCACACAGAAAGGCCCGGAACAACCUCCAUUUGAACCCAUAACCUUCUUGUUGUGAAGCCACAGUGUUAACCACUGGGCCACCAUGCUGCAGUUGUUGAUGUUUAAAUGU